Molecule: transfer RNA, 48 nt
Filed under: Erythranthe androsacea
Lineage: Eukaryota; Viridiplantae; Streptophyta; Magnoliopsida; Lamiales; Phrymaceae
Description: partial tRNA-Leu
Source: RNAcentral
AAAAKCCGUCGACUUUUAAAAUCGUGAGGGUUCAAGUCCCUCUAUCCC